This 497-nucleotide ribosomal RNA is filed under the name uncultured bacterium. RNAcentral describes it as "partial 16S ribosomal RNA". It matches the Rfam family "Bacterial small subunit ribosomal RNA", at positions 28 to 507 of the family's 1533-position model. The record is from RNAcentral.
GAUGAACGCUGGCGGCGUGCCUAAUACAUGCAAGUCGAGCGAACGGACGAGAAGCUUGCUUCUCUGAUGUUAGCGGCGGACGGGUGAGUAACACGUGGAUAACCUACCUAUAAGACUGGGAUAACUUCGGGAAACCGGAGCUAAUACCGGAUGAUAUUUUGAACCGUAUGGUUCAAAAGUGAAAGACGGUCUUGCUGUCACUUAUAGAUGGAUCGCCGCUUCAUUAGCUAGUUGGUAAGGUAACGGCUUACCAAGGCAACGAUGCAUAGCCGCCCUGAGAGGGGGAUCGGCCCCACUGGAACUGAGACACGGCCACAACGCCAACGGGAGGCAGCAGUAGGGAAUCUGCCGCGAUGGGCGAGAGAAUAACGGACAAACGCCGCGUGAGUGAUGCAGGACUUCUGAUCGUAAAAAUCUGUUAUUAGGGAAGAACAGAUGUGUAAGUAACUAUGAACAUCUUGACGGUACCUAAUCAGAAAGCCACGGCUAACUACGUG